AUAAUACGGCGAGAGGAAGCAUCUACAGAUGAGACGUACGAUGAAACAUUUCUAGAUGAGAGAGAUCAGACCAUGCUCUCGAUGGACAUGAUGGAAUUUCAGGAUGAAGAGAGCAAGCAAUUGGCUCCCAUGGAGGAGGCGGAUGUAGGGGAGGAGAGGAGGCCGUGGCAGUCUCCACGGCGACGGGCCUUUCUCUGCCCCACUGCACUGGGUCGACGAUCUUCCUUUCACUUGGAGUGUCUGAGAAAACAUAACAGACCUGAUGUUUCACAGAAAACAGCACUACCACUGCAUCUAGUGCAUCAUCAGGUAAACUUAUGUGUGCGCACUCACACACACAC
Molecule: long non-coding RNA, 341 nt
Organism: Sinocyclocheilus anshuiensis
Lineage: Eukaryota; Metazoa; Chordata; Actinopteri; Cypriniformes; Cyprinidae
Exons: 3
Source: RefSeq, a predicted model, not a curated record